Molecule: ribosomal RNA, 509 nt
Filed under: uncultured Bacteroidota bacterium
Lineage: Bacteria; Pseudomonadati; Bacteroidota
Description: uncultured Bacteroidetes bacterium partial 16S ribosomal RNA
Source: RNAcentral
CACGGAGUUAGCCGAUGCUUUUUCUUCGGAUACGCGCAGUCCGGGACACGUCCCGGGUUUUGUUCUCCGACAAAAGAGGUUUACAACCCAUAGGGCCGUCUUCCCUCACGCGGCUUGGCUGGUUCAGGAUCUCUCCCAUUGACCAAUAUUCCUCACUGCUGCCUCCCGUAGGAGUCUGGUCCGUGUCUCAGUACCAGUGUGGGGGACCUUCCUCUCAGAACCCCUACGCAUCGUCGCCACGGUGGGCCGUUACCCCGCCGUCAAGCUAAUGCGCCGCAUGCCCAUCCUCUUCCGAUGAAUCUUUCCUCGAUCUCGGAUGCCCGAAACCGAUAUACGCGGGAUUAGCCUCCCUUUCGGAAGGUUGUCCCCCUGAAGAGGGCAGGUUGCAUACGUGUUACUCACCCGUGCGCCGGUCGCCGGCAAGGAAAGCAAGCUUCCCUCCCGAUGCCCCUCGACUUGCAUGUGUUAAGCCUGCCGCUAGCGUUCAUCCUGAGCCAGGAUCAAACUCU